This 254-nucleotide ribosomal RNA is filed under the name uncultured bacterium. Its description in RNAcentral is "partial 16S ribosomal RNA". It matches the Rfam family "Bacterial small subunit ribosomal RNA", at positions 524 to 776 of the family's 1533-position model. The record is from RNAcentral.
GACGGAGGAUGCAAGCGUUAUCCGGAAUGAUUGGGCGUAAAGCGUCCGCAGGUGGCAACGCAAGUCUGCUGUUAAAGCGCAGGGCUUAACCCUGUAAAGGCAGUGGAAACUGAAUAGCUAGAGUAUGGUAGGGGUAGAGGGAAUUCCCAGUGUAGCGGUGAAAUGCGUAGAUAUUGGGAAGAACAUCGGUGGCGAAGGCGCUCUACUGGACCAUAACUGACACUCACAGGACGAAAGCUAGGGGAGCGAAUGGG